This 1394-nucleotide ribosomal RNA is filed under the name uncultured bacterium. Its description in RNAcentral is "16S ribosomal RNA". It matches the Rfam family "Bacterial small subunit ribosomal RNA". The record is from RNAcentral.
AGAGUUUGAUCCUGGCUCAAGAUGAACGCUAGCUACAGGCUUAACACAUGCAAGUCGAGGGGCAGCACGGGGUAGCAAUACCUGGGUGGCGACCGGCGCACGGGUGCGUAACGCGUAUCCAACCUUCCCGAUACUCUUGGAUAGCCUUCCGAAAGGGAGAUUAAUACAAGAUGGUGUUUCACUUUCGCAUGUUAUUGAAACUAAAGAUUUAUCGGUAUCGGAUGGGGAUGCGUGACAUUAGAUAGUAGGCGGGGUAACGGCCCACCUAGUCUACGAUGUCUAGGGGUUCUGAGAGGAAGGUCCCCCACACUGGAACUGAGACACGGUCCAGACUCCUACGGGAGGCAGCAGUGAGGAAUAUUGGUCAAUGGUCGGAAGACUGAACCAGCCAAGUAGCGUGAAGGAUGAAGGUUCUAUGGAUUGUAAACUUCUUUUAUACGGGAAUAAAGCCCGCUACGUGUAGCGGUUUGUAUGUACCGUAUGAAUAAGCAUCGGCUAACUCCGUGCCAGCAGCCGCGGUAAUACGGAGGAUGCGAGCGUUAUCCGGAUUUAUUGGGUUUAAAGGGAGCGUACACGCGAUGUUAAGUCAAUUGUGAAAAGGCUGCGGCUCAACCGCACCACUGACAGAUGAAACUGGCGUCCUUGAGUGCGGUUGAGGUGUGUGGAAUUUGUGGGGUAGCGGGAAAAUGCUUAGAUAUCACGAAGAACUCCGAUUGGGAAGGCAGCACACUAAGCCGCUACUGACGUUGAGGCUCGAAAGUGUGGGUAUCAAACAGGAUUAGAUACCCUGGUAGUCCACACGGUAAACGAUGAAUACUCGCUGUUGGCGAUACAAUGUCAGCGGCCAAGCGAAAGCAUUAAGUAUUCCACCUGGGGAGUACGCCGGCAACGGUGAAACUCAAAGGAAUUGACGGGGGCCCGCACAAGCGGAGGAACAUGUGGUUUAAUUCGAUGAUACGCGAGGAACCUUACCCGGGCUUAAAUUGCAGAGGACAGGCGCAGAGAUGUGCUCUUCUUCGGACCUCUGUGAAGGUGCUGCAUGGUUGUCGUCAGCUCGUGCCGUGAGGUGUCGGCUUAAGUGCCAUAACGAGCGCAACCCUUGCCGGUAGUUACCAUCAGGUUAUGCUGGGGACUCUACCGGGACUGCCAUCGUAAGAUGUGAGGAAGGUGGGGAUGACGUCAAAUCAGCACGGCCCUUACGUCCGGGGCUACACACGUGUUACAAUGGGAGGUACAGAAGGCUGCUACCCGGCGACGGGAUGCCAAUCCCCAAAACCUCUCUCAGUUCGGAUUGGAGUCUGCAACCCGACUCCAUGAAGCUGGAUUCGCUAGUAAUCGCGCAUCAGCCACGGCGCGGUGAAUACGUUCCCGGGCCUUGCACACACCGCCCGUCA